RNAcentral lists this long non-coding RNA (619 nucleotides) under Marmota monax (woodchuck). The record is from RNAcentral. Lineage: Eukaryota; Metazoa; Chordata; Mammalia; Rodentia; Sciuridae.
AAUAUUUAUAUUUUCAAAUUUGUAUUUGAAAAUAACAUAGAUUAUAGCAUAACUUUAGCUAUUAUUUACACAUUCUAUAUCACAUCUUCAUCAGCAUUCAGUUCAAAAUAUUUCCUAAUUUCCAUUGUGGUUUCAUUUUAGCCCACAUUUUCUCAUUUUCAUUGAAAAUCUUUUGGAACUUUAUAAAGGUAGUAGUUACACAAUAUUGAAAAUGCAAUAAAGCCACUGAAUUAUUCACUUCAAAGUGGUUGCAUUUAUGUAAUUGCUUACUCUUAAGUGGUUUAUUAUGUGUUACAUGAAUUUAUUUCAAACACCUCACCUUUUAAAAAGUGCAUUACUCAAUUUCUAAGCAUUUAGACAUUUUGUUAUUCUAGCUUCAUUCCACUAAGUUUAAAGAACAUAUUCUAUCUGAUGCUAAUCCCUUGAAAUUUACCACAACUUUUAUGGUUUGUUUUUGUAAGUAAAUGUGAAAAGAUUAUUUAUUUUGUGGUAUUUUGGUGUGUUUUUGUGUUAAUCAUUUCGUUUAAAUCCCUUAUAUCAUUUUUCUUUAUUUUUUAAAUCUGCUUGUUCUGUCAGUUACUGAUAGAUUAGUUUUUUAAAAAUCCCACUAUGAUUGUAG